Molecule: ribosomal RNA, 493 nt
Filed under: uncultured bacterium
Lineage: Bacteria
Description: partial 16S ribosomal RNA
Rfam family: Bacterial small subunit ribosomal RNA
Source: RNAcentral
AUUGAACGCUGGCGGCAUGCUUUACACAUGCAAGUCGAACGGUAACAGGUUAAGCUGACGAGUGGCGAACGGGUGAGUAAUGCAUCGGAACGUGCCCGGUCGUGGGGGAUAACGCAGCGAAAGCUGCGCUAAUACCGCAUACGAUCUGAGGAUGAAAGCGGGGGACCGUAAGGCCUCGCGCGAUCGGAACGGCCGAUGUCGGAUUAGGUAGUUGGUGGGGGAAAGGCUAACCAAGCCAACGAUCUGUAGCUGGUCUGAGAGGACGACCAGCCACACUGGGACUGAGACACGGCCCAGACUCCUACGGGAGGCAGCAGUGGGGAAUUUUGGACAAUGGGCGAAAGCCUGAUCCAGCAAUGCCGCGUGCAGGAAGAAGGCCUUCGGGUUGUAAACUGCUUUUGUACGGAGCGAAAAGGUCUCCUCUAAUACAGGGGGCUCAUGACGGUACCGUAAGAAUAAGCACCGGCUAACUACGUGCCAACAGCCGCCGUAA